AGUGAACGCUGGCGGUAUGCCUAACACAUGCAAGUCGAACGGCAGCACAGUAAGAGCUUGCUCUUACGGGUGGCGAGUGGCGGACGGGUGAGGAAUACAUCGGAAUCUACUUUUUCGUGGGGGAUAACGUAGGGAAACUUACGCCAAUACCGCAUACGACCUACGGGUGAAAGCAGUGGAUCUUCGGACCUUGCGCGAUUGAAUGAGCCGAUGUCGGAUUAGCUAGUUGGCGGGGUAAAGGCCCACCAAGGCGACGAUCCGUAGCUGGUCUGAGAGGAUGAUCAGCCACACUGGAACUGAGACACGGUCCAGACUCCUACGGGAGGCAGCAGUGGGGAAUAUUGGACAAUGGGCGCAAGCCUGAUCCAGCCAUACCGCGUGGGUGAAGAAGGCCUUCGGGUUGUAAAGCCCUUUUGUUGGGAAAGAAAAGCAGCAGGUUAAUCCACCGCUGUUCUGACGGUACCCAAAGAAUAAGCACCGGCUAACUUCGUG
RNAcentral lists this ribosomal RNA (492 nucleotides) under uncultured bacterium. RNAcentral describes it as "partial 16S ribosomal RNA". It matches the Rfam family "Bacterial small subunit ribosomal RNA", at positions 29 to 507 of the family's 1533-position model. The record is from RNAcentral.